UGGGGAAUCUUAGACAAUGGGGGAAACCCUGAUCUAGCCAUGCCGCGUGAUCGAUGAAUGCCUUAGGGUUGUAAAGAUCUUUCAGUGGGGAAGAUAAUUACUGUACCCACAGAAGAAGCCCCGGCUAACUCCGUGCCAGCAGCCGCGGUAAUACGGAGGGGGCUAGCGUUGUUCGGAAUUACUGGGCGUAAAGCGCACGUAGGCGGAUCAGAAAGUCAGAGGUGAAAUCCCAGGGCUCAACCUUGGAACUGCCUUUGAAACUCCUGAUCUUGAGGUCGAGAGAGGUGAGUGGAAUUCCGAGUGUAGAGGUGAAAUUCGUAGAUAUUCGGAGGAACACCAGUGGCGAAGGCGGCUCACUGGCUCGAUACUGACGCUGAGGUGCGAAAGCGUGGGGAGCAAACA
This 402-nucleotide ribosomal RNA is filed under the name uncultured prokaryote. RNAcentral describes it as "bacterial SSU rRNA". It matches the Rfam family "Bacterial small subunit ribosomal RNA", at positions 355 to 774 of the family's 1533-position model. The record is from RNAcentral.